CCUACGGGAGGCAGCAGUGAGGAAUAUUGGUCAAUGGACGAGAGUCUGAACAAGACAAGUAGCGUGAAGGAUGACUGCCCUAUGGGUUGUAAACUUCUUUUAUAUGGGAAUAAAACGUUCCACGUGUGGGAUUUUGUAUGUACCAUAUGAAUAAGGAUCGGCUAACUCCGUGCCAGCAGCCGCGGUAAUACGGAGGAUCCGAGCGUUAUCCGGAUUUAUUGGGUUUAAAGGGAGCGUAGGUGGGUUGUUAAGUCAGUUGUGAAAGUUUGCGGCUCAACCGUAAAAUUGCAGUUGAAACUGGCAGUCUUGAGUACAGUAGAGGUGGGCGGAAUUCGUGGUGUAGCGGUGAAAUGCUUAGAUAUCACGAAGAACUCCGAUUGCGAAGGCAGUUCACUGGACUGCAACUGACACUGAGGCUCGAAAGUGUGGGUAUCAAACAGGAUUAGAUACCCCAGUAGUC
Molecule: ribosomal RNA, 460 nt
Filed under: uncultured bacterium
Lineage: Bacteria
Description: partial 16S ribosomal RNA
Rfam family: Bacterial small subunit ribosomal RNA
Source: RNAcentral